AUAAAUUACUGAGAAGUAAGGCUAAUUCUCGAUCCAUGGAUUUAGCGGAGUAAGAGAAGAAGAUCUUUAUGGAAGGGUUGCUGGACACGAACCGCAGCCGUGCUCCAUAGCCCUUGUGAGUUGAGACAAGCUAAUACUAUAGGAUUUUGCUCUGCCAAAAGACGUAGGAGGUUUAAAUAAUUUUGUAGUUUUUCUGCUGUCUUCAAGUGUAUAUAGGUAAAAAU
Molecule: unclassified non-coding RNA, 224 nt
Filed under: Hevea brasiliensis (rubber tree)
Lineage: Eukaryota; Viridiplantae; Streptophyta; Magnoliopsida; Malpighiales; Euphorbiaceae
Source: RNAcentral